This 426-nucleotide ribosomal RNA is filed under the name Sphingopyxis sp. S1. Its description in RNAcentral is "bacterial SSU rRNA". It matches the Rfam family "Bacterial small subunit ribosomal RNA", at positions 12 to 484 of the family's 1533-position model. Lineage: Bacteria; Pseudomonadati; Pseudomonadota; Alphaproteobacteria; Sphingomonadales; Sphingopyxidaceae. The record is from RNAcentral.
UUUGAUCCUGGCUCAGAACGAACGCUGGCGGCAUGCCUAACACAUGCAAGUCGAACGAACUCUUCGGAGUUAGUGGCGCACGGGUGCGUAACGCGUGGGAAUCUGCCCUUGGGUACGGAAUAACUCAGAGAAAUUUGUGCUAAUACCGUAUAAUGACUUCGGUCCAAAGAUUUAUCGCCCAAGGAUGAGCCCGCGUAAGAUUAGCUAGUUGGUGGGGUAAAAGCCUACCAAGGCGACGAUCUUUAGCUGGUCUGAGAGGAUGAUCAGCCACACUGGGACUGAGACACGGCCCAGACUCCUACGGGAGGCAGCAGUGGGGAAUAUUGGACAAUGGGCGAAAGCCUGAUCCAGCAAUGCCGCGUGAGUGAUGAAGGCCUUAGGGUUGUAAAGCUCUUUUACCCGGGAUGAUAAUGACAGUACCGGGAG